RNAcentral lists this ribosomal RNA (400 nucleotides) under uncultured bacterium. RNAcentral describes it as "partial 16S ribosomal RNA". It matches the Rfam family "Bacterial small subunit ribosomal RNA", at positions 355 to 769 of the family's 1533-position model. The record is from RNAcentral.
UUAGGAAUUUUGCGCAAUGGGGGAAACCCUGACGCAGCAACGCCGCGUGGAGGACGAAGGCCUUCGGGUUGUAAACUCCUUUUGGCAGGAAAAAAUAAAAUGAUGGUACUUGCAGAAAAAGCACCGGCUAACCCUGUGCCAGCAGCCGCGGUAAUACAGGGGGUGCAAGCGUUAUUCGGAAUCACUGGGCGUAAAGCGCGCGUAGGUGGUUUAAUAAGUCUGAUGUGAAAGCCCACGACUUAAUCGUGGAAGUGCAUCGGAUACUGUUAGACUAGAGUGCAGGAGGGGUAAGUGGAAUUCCUAGUGUAGAGGUGAAAUUCGUAGAUAUUAGGAGGAACAUCGGAGGCGAAAGCGACUUACUAGACUGAUACUGACACUUAGGCGCGAAAGCGUGGGUAGC